RNAcentral lists this ribosomal RNA (698 nucleotides) under uncultured bacterium. Its description in RNAcentral is "bacterial SSU rRNA". It matches the Rfam family "Bacterial small subunit ribosomal RNA", at positions 8 to 694 of the family's 1533-position model. The record is from RNAcentral.
AGAGUUUGAUCAUGGCUCAGAACGAACGCUGGCGGCGUGCUUAACACAUGCAAGUCGAACGCGAACGAGUUCUUCGGAACUUUAGUAGAGUGGCGCACGGGUGAGUAACGCGUAAGUUAUCUACCCUCCCAUCUGGAAUAACUCACCGAAAGGUGUGCUAAUACCGGAUACGUUGAUUUAUCAAGAAAGGUGGCCUCUAUUUAUAAGCUACCGUGGGGGGAUGAGCUUGCGUACCAUUAGCUAGUUGGUAGGGUAAUGGCCUACCAAGGCAACGAUGGUUAGCGGGUCUGAGAGGAUGAUCCGCCACACUGGAACUGGAACACGGACCAGACUCCUACGGGAGGCAGCAGUGAGGAAUAUUGCGCAAUGGGGGAAACCCUGACGCAGCGACGCCGCGUGGAUGAUGAAGGCCUUUGGGUCGUAAAAUCCUGUCAGAUGGAAAGAAAUGCUAUUGGUUUAAUAUGCCAUUAGUUUGACGGUACCAUCAAAGGAAGCACCGGCUAACUCCGUGCCAGCAGCCGCGGUAAUACGGAGGGUGCAAGCGUUGUUCGGAAUUACUGGGCGUAAAGCGCGCGUAGGUGGCUUUUUAAGUCAGAUGUGAAAGUCCACGGCUCAACCGUGGAAGUGCAUUUGAAACUGGAAAGCUUGAGUAUUGGAGGGGGUAGUGGAAUUCCCGGUGUAGAGGUGAAAUUCGUAGA